Molecule: ribosomal RNA, 465 nt
Filed under: uncultured bacterium
Lineage: Bacteria
Description: partial 16S ribosomal RNA
Rfam family: Bacterial small subunit ribosomal RNA
Source: RNAcentral
GACGAACGCUGGCGGCGUGCUUAACACAUGCAAGUCGAACGGAAAGGCCCUGCUUGCAGGGUACUCGAGUGGCGAACGGGUGAGUAACACGUGGGUGAUCUGCCCUGCACUUCGGGAUAAGCCUGGGAAACUGGGUCUAAUACCGGAUAGGAGCCAUUUUUAGUGUGAUGGUUGGAAAGUUUUUUCGGUGUAGGAUGAGCUCGCGGCCUAUCAGCUUGUUGGUGGGGUAAUGGCCUACCAAGGCGGCGACGGGUAGCCGGCCUGAGAGGGUGGACGGCCACAUUGGGACUGAGAUACGGCCCAGACACCUACGGGAGGCAGCAGUGGGGAAGAUUGCACAAUGGGCGCAAGCCUGAUGCAGCGACGCCGCGUGGGGGAUGACGGCCUUCGGGUUGUAAACUCCUUUCGCUAGGGACGAAGCUUUUUGUGACGGUACCUAGAUAAGAAGCACCGGCUAACUACGUG